CCCUUCGAUGUUCUGGGCCGCACGCGCGCUACAAUGACUCACUCAGAAAGUUUUUCCUGAUCCGGAAGGAUUCGGGUAAUCUUCAUAGCAUGAGUCGUGUUAGGGAUCGAUCUUUGCAAUUAUAGAUCUUGAACGAGGAAUGCCUAGUAAGUGCAGCUCAUCAGGCUGUACUGAUUACGUCCCUGCCCUUUGUACACACCGCCCGUCGCUCCUACCGAUUGAGUGGUCCGGUGAACCUUCUGGAUUAAGCAGCAAUGCUUGAGAAGUUAGGUAAACCUUAUCACUUAGAGGAAGGAGAAGUCGUAACA
This 308-nucleotide ribosomal RNA is filed under the name uncultured eukaryote. RNAcentral describes it as "partial 18S ribosomal RNA". It matches the Rfam family "Eukaryotic small subunit ribosomal RNA", at positions 1470 to 1796 of the family's 1831-position model. The record is from RNAcentral.